AACACAAAAACUUAACCUCCAACCUUGACACAUCUCUGCAUGUCCAAAUACUUCCCUCCCUCUCUCAUCUCAUCUUUCCUAAAUAUACAUCGCUUUUCUCGGCAAUCGAAAUUGUAGAAACGUUUCUGAAACGAUGCAGUCAGUAAGGACCCGCCGCAAAGUGGCUCCAGCCACCGCAAACGGCGGUGACUCAGCCGAGAAAUUGGACCAACUUCUCCUCUCAUCCGCCAUCUGCAACGGCGAAGACUUAGGGUCGUUUGUUCGCAAAGCCUUUGCAUCAGGAAAGCCCGAGACACUCCUCCACCAUUUGCGCCAGUUCGCCCGAUCCAAAGAAUCCGAAAUCGAGGAAGUCUGCAAGGCCCACUACCAAGACUUCAUCAUGGCCGUUGAUGAUCUCCGAUCUCUGCUCUCUGAUGUCGAUUCGCUCAAAUCGGCUCUCUCCGAUUCAAACUCAAAACUCCAGUCUGUAGCUGGUCCGCUCCUAUCCUCACUUGACUCGUACGUAGAAGCGCAAAAUAUUUCGAAAAAUGUUGACUUAGCGCUGAAAUCAAUUGUGUCUUGUAUGAAACUGAUGGAGCUUUGUUCACGAGCAAAUCAUCAUCUUUCAAGCAACAACUUUUACAUGGCUUUGAAGUGCACAAAUGCAAUGGAGAAUGAGUUCUUAGAUAAAACGCCUUCGUCUACUUUAAAAAGAAUGUUAGAAAAGAAAAUUCCAGCGAUUAGAACAUAUAUCGAGAGAAAGGUAAACAAGGAGUUUGGUGAUUGGCUAGUUGAGAUCCGUGUAGUAUGUCGAAAUUUAGGUCAAUUAGCAAUCGGUCAAGCUUCUUCGGCGAGGCAACGAGAAGAGGAUUUACGAAUCAAGCAGAGACAAGCUGAGGAACAGAGUCGGCUCAGUUUGCGUGACUGCGUUUACGCUUUACACGAGGAUGACGAAGAUGGAUUUAACAACGGUGUUGAAAGUGAUAGUAACGGUGUCUCUGGUCUGUUAGGGUUUGAUUUGACUCCUCUUUAUAGGGCUUAUCAUUUACACCAAACAUUAGGUCUUGAAGAUCGAUUUAAGCAAUAUUAUUUUGAAAAUCGGAAGCUUCAAUUGACGUCUGAUUUUCAGGUAUCCUCAAUGACUCCGUUUUUAGAAUCUCAUCAAACAUUUUUCGCCCAAAUUGCUGGUUUUUUUAUUGUUGAAGAUCGAAUUUUAAGGACCGGUGGUAAUUUGAUAUCUAAAAUUGAAGUUGAGAAUUUGUGGGAUGCAGCUGUUAGUAAAAUGUGUUCAGUACUGGAGGAUCAGUUUUCGAGAAUGCAAACUGCUAAUCAUCUCCUUCUGAUUAAGGAUUAUGUGAGUUUGUUGGGUGUCACAUUGCGCGGAUAUGGGUACCCAGUUGAUGCUUUGCUUGAUGUUUUGAGUAAACAUAGGGAUAAGUAUCACGAGUUAUUGUUGUCAGAUUGUCGUAAACAGAUUGCUGAAGCCCUUGCUGCUGAUAAGUUUGAGCAAAUGUUGAUGAAGAAAGAGUAUGAGUAUUCUAUGAAUGUGCUUUCAUUUCAGAUUCAGACAUCGGAUAUUGUUCCUGCAUUUCCUUAUGUUGCGCCAUUUUCGUCUACGGUGCCUGAUUGUUGUAGGAUUGUGCGGUCCUUCAUUGAGGACUCAGUGAGUUUCAUGUCGCAUGGUGGGCAGCUGGAUUUCUAUGAUGUUGUUAAAAAGUAUUUGGAUAGGCUUUUGGCUGAAGUUUUGGAUGAGGCUCUUAUGAAACUUAUUAAUACAUCUGUUCAUGGGGUUUCUCAGGCAAUGCAAGUUGCAGCUAAUAUGGCUGUUUUAGAGCGCGCUUGCGAUUUUUUCUUUCGUCAUGCUGCACAGCUUUCAGGAAUUCCAUUGAGAAUGGCAGAGAGGAGUAGGAGGCAGUUCCCUCUAAACAAAGCGCGUGAUGCUGCCGAGGACAUGCUGUCUGGGUUGCUUAAAACAAAGGUUGAUGGUUUCAUGACAUUGAUUGAGAAUGUGAACUGGAUGGCUGAUGAUCCCGUACAGAAUGGCAAUGAAUAUGUAAAUGAGGUCAUAAUAUAUUUGGAGACUCUCGUUUCUACUGCACAACAAAUAUUGCCCGCUCAGGUUCUUAGAAGGGUUCUACAAGAUGUUCUUUCUCACAUAUCAGAGACCAUUGUAGGGGCAUUAUAUGGUGAUUCUGUUAAGAGGUUUAAUAUAAAUGCUAUCAUGGGAAUGGAUGUAGAUGUUCGACUUCUGGAGUCUUUUGCUGAUAAUCUAGCUCCCUUGUUCACAGACGGGGAUGCAAAUCAGUUGAAAACAGCUCUUGCUGAGUCAAGGCAGUUGACUAAUUUGUUAUUGAGCAAUCACCCUGAGAAUUUUCUGAAUCCAGUGAUUAGGGAGAGGAGCUACAAUACUUUGGAUUACAGGAAAGUAGUGACAAUAUCAGAGAAGUUGAGGGAUCCUUCAGAUCGGCUGUUUGGAACCUUUGGAAGCAGGGGAGCCAGGCAGAAUCCUAAGAAGAAAUCUCUGGAUGCUAUGAUAAAAAGACUCAGGGAUGUGAGCUGAUUUGGGACGGAGCUUAAUGUAUGAUUCUUGGUCUUUUUCCCUUACCACUGCUGAUUGUGAUUGGCAUAUCUUUUAGAGUUUGAAUGAAGGAUGAUGCAGAUUGCUGUCCUCACCCAUUUGGCGUUAUGUAGACUUCGCCCUUGCUAUAUUUCGAAUUUCUAAUUCAGCCGGUAGCCCAAAAUCUUAAAGAAGGGACCAAAGUUUGAUAAAUCAGUUGUAUAGCAAUAUGUAUAUGAUUAUAACAUAUUCAAGGAAAUGAACACGACCUCUAUUUGUUAUCGAAAUCAACGUUAUGUUGCUUUUCCUUGACCACUGGGCUCAAGGUCACCUAUGACAUGAGUUGAAUUUUACGUUCAAUUUGCAUGUUUGACAAUUUUUGUAGUAAGUUUUCUACCAGAAUUAUCCUCGCUUGACCUGAGGAUCUCCUUUACUGUGAUAUGUAGGUUUCCG
This is an RNA transcript of Pistacia vera, 2989 nucleotides long. It is a transcript of the gene named exocyst complex component SEC15B-like, with no coding region annotated. The transcript has 2 exons. NCBI's taxonomy places the organism in Eukaryota, Viridiplantae, Streptophyta, Magnoliopsida, Sapindales, Anacardiaceae. The record is from RefSeq and is a predicted model, not a curated record.